Molecule: ribosomal RNA, 795 nt
Filed under: uncultured bacterium
Lineage: Bacteria
Description: bacterial SSU rRNA
Rfam family: Bacterial small subunit ribosomal RNA
Source: RNAcentral
GUUGAGCGAUUCUCUUCGGAGAAGAGCGGCGGACGGGUGAGUACCGUGUGGGUAACCUGCCCUAUACACACGGAUAACAUACCGACAGGUAUGCUAAUACGGGAUAACAUGAGAGAUUCGCAUGGAUUUCUUAUCAAAGCUCCGGCGGUAUAGGAUGGACCCGCGUCUGAUUAGCUAGUUGGUGAGGUAACGGCUUACCAAGGCGACGAUCAGUAGCCGACCUGAGAGGGUGAUCGGCCACAUUGGAACUGAGACACGGUCCAAACUCCUACGGGAGGCAGCAGUGGGGAAUAUUGCACAAUGGGCGAAAGCCUGAUGCAGCAACGCCGCGUGAGCGAUGAAGGCCUUCGGGUCGUAAAGCUCUGUCCUCAAGGAAGAUAAUGACGGUACUUGAGGAGGAAGCCCUGGCUAACUACGUGCCAGCAGCCGCGGUAAUACGUAGGGGGCUAGCGUUAUCCGGAAUUACUGGGCGUAAAGGGUGCGUAGGUGGUUUCUUAAGUCAGAGGUGAAAGGCUACGGCUCAACCGUAGUAAGCCUUUGAAACUGAGAAACUUGAGUGCAGGAGAGGAGAGUAGAAUUCCUAGUGUAGCGGUGAAAUGCGUAGAUAUUAGGAGGAAUACCAGUUGCGAAGGCGGCUCUCUGGACUGUAACUGACACUGAGGCACGAAAGCGUGGGGAGCAAACAGGAUUAGAUACCCUGGUAGUCCACGCCGUANACGAUGAGUACUAGCUGUCGGAGGUUACCCCCUUCGGUGGCNCAGCUAACGCAUUAAGUACUCCGCCUGGGAAGUACGC